AUCCAAUUGACGAGUCCCAAAUAAGACGAAACGUGAGUCCUGGAU
RNAcentral lists this non-coding RNA (45 nucleotides) under Schistosoma mansoni. The record is from RNAcentral. Lineage: Eukaryota; Metazoa; Platyhelminthes; Trematoda; Strigeidida; Schistosomatidae.